AAGGGGUUGACGCAGAAACUACCUCCUGUUGAUUAUAGCUUCUCAUUCCUCUAGAAUGACGGACGCAGUUCCUAUGCCUAAUGUAUGCAAAUAAAACCAUCCGCAAAAUGAUACUCCCAUCUGGGAUUCUGUAGGACUGUUCCUGAGAAACGCCUGCCUGAUGUUUUCACCACCUCCAGGCAGAGUUCAAUAAAAACGAACUUAGCCAAAUGCCUGACAGGUAGUAAGUGCUCAAGAAACAGUUGACUGGACGACUGCUCCAUUUCUUCUCUGCAUAUCUGAACACUCAAGCACCGGAAGGCACCUAAACCCAGAGCCUCUCCAGACCAUAUGACAUCAGUCAAAGACUCUGCUUGAGAAUUAUUUUUGUUCUUGGCCUCAGCUCCGGAUCACAGCAACUUAUAUAUGCCAUCUCUGUUUCAGAGACAGUUUAUUUUCAGCUGCCAAACCACUUUUUUCCAAGCCUUCAGUCAAAUAAUUUCUCCUGAAGAAAAAGAAAAGAGAAUGACAUAACUGUCAGGGUUUUAUUUCAAAAGAAGAGUGGUUAUAUAGAUUUUUUGUGUGUGUUCAUAUCAAAGUGUCAAUAACUGUUAAAGAGGAACAGUCAACUAGCAAGUCACUUGUCAAUGAUUCUUCCAUCUUUGACAUGGGAGAGAUUUGAAGAACAUUUAUUUAGCAAUUUUUUUUAUUAAAUGUCUACUUGGCUUACUGGACUAAGUUGUGGCAAUCUGAGAAUGGACCAGAUUUCAUUCAAGAUGUUUGCCUUCAAGGAGUUUAUAGUCUAGUGGGAAAAAUAAACAAGUAAAAUCUGGGAACUUUAAGCAUAAAUCUCUGGAACAUUCAUAGUCAUUGUAUAACAGGAAUUCUUUAACAUUUUGGAUGUUAUUUUCUCAUCUUUCCACUGAACAAAAUUGACUCAAGCCUUUAAUAAUCUCUGCUGUGUACUUGCAGUGGAAAAUGUCAACAAGUAAUCCUAACAAUUCUCCAGGAAGUGGAGGCUCAGGUGGUUAGUGAGUAGUCCCAAUAUUGAGCUCAAAAGUCGGUCUUCUACAUCCAUUUUUUCUGUCGUGUGUUUCUAUCAUGAACACGUUUCCAUUAUAGCAGAUUGAUGCUUUCUUACCCAAAUUUAUUUACCUAUCUACUAGACCAUGAAGUCAAAGACCACUUUUCAUUUGUAUAUCUGCCCAUCACCCUAAUAGAUUAUGACCUUUUGAGAUGAGAAACAUGGUUCCUGCCCUCAAGAGGAUCAAAUUUGGAGAAAAAGGUAGAUAAUCAUAUCAAAUAGGGUGAGAACAAGCACUGAAAUCAAGUUUAUUGUUAACAUAUGGAGGAGGAGCACCUCAUUCAACCUGCAUUCAACAAGAAGUACUUCUCAAAAAUGUCAAGCUCAAGACGAGUAUUGAAGAACCGGUAGGAAUUGGCCAAGCUAAAAAGAGACAAAGAGGGCUCCAUACACAGGCACAUAUACCUUUGUAUGUGUCUCCUUGCCUAUGAACUGUAGAGUAAAACUCAUUACAAGUAUUCUGGAUCCAUUUUUGGCUAAGUGAAGAGGAAAGUUUUACCAGCUGAUGGCCGUUUGAUGACCUACAUGGAAAGAACUGGUAGACUCAGGAGAGCACAAUUGAGAGAAGUGAUCACAUCACAAAAUGUGACAUCAUUCUUUGGCACCAGCUGGCAUCCUGGACAUGGAGAAUACAUUUGGAGGAGUCAUUGCUCUUGAAACCCCCAAAAGUCUACUCAAACAACAAAUGCUUAUUCAAAUGUUUUGAAAUUUAUAAAUGUGAAAUUUUAAGAGGAACGUAUUGAGCAUGCAGGGUUAACAAACUUAAAUUGCAUCAUUAUGUUAAAUGGGGCAAACUUCAAAGUGUUCUCCCACCACUGAGGAAAAUAAGGUGAAUGGCACCCUUCCUUGGAUUCUAGUGCUAUUGCUGAGAUUAGCCAUUCUUGCAUCUCAAAAGGAAGAUGUUAAAAGAAGAGUUAGCCAACUGUGUUCCUGGUGCUGUGCCAGCAGGAAGUUCCCUUUGAAUGGUGCUGCAAACAUAAUAGCAGUGUGCUGACUCCAGCAACAAUGUAAAAAACAGGUCUUUGGAAGUGGUGGAAACACAUGUUUCAAGAAAAAAAAAGCGCACAGUAACAUGGUAACAAUAUGUCAGAGAGAUUCUGAAGCUCAAAACAACAUAUUUGGAAGAAGAGUGAAGUAUCCCACUGUUUCUUCAUUUGAAGUAAAACUUCCAGUUUUAGAAGCGUCAGCAAUGUUGAGAAGGUCAGAAUUGAAAGACCACAAGGAGGAGGAAGAGAAGGGGGAGGAAGAAAGAGAAGAGAGAAGAGAAAAAGAGAAAAGAAGUGGAAAAGAAGAGGGAAAGAAAGCUCACCUUCAUUUACCUCUGUUCACACUCAAACUUCUUGAUAGUAACCAA
This is a long non-coding RNA of Felis catus (domestic cat), 2417 nucleotides long. RefSeq lists it as uncharacterized. The record is from RefSeq and is a predicted model, not a curated record. Lineage: Eukaryota; Metazoa; Chordata; Mammalia; Carnivora; Felidae. The transcript has 8 exons.